UAGUAGCCGGACUAUAUAUAUAUAUAUAUAUAUAUAUAUAUAUAUAUAUAUAUAUAUAUAUAUAUAUAUAUAUAUAUAUAUAUAUAUAUAUAUAUAUAUAUAUAUAUAUAUAUAUAUAUAUAUAGCUGGGUUGGAAUACUAUUGAUAGUAUUUAGCCCUUUUUGCUAUCAAAUUUUUAAUUCUUGGAUGAGAAAUUUUGUGAUGGUGGAGUCGGAAUUUUGAAGAGUUCAAGUUAUGAAGAACAACUCGAAGAUUCGAAGUACUAAUUCACGAUUCGAAGUAGUCUUUUUAGUGUUUGUAGUGAUCUAAUGCAUAUAAUAGUGUAGGGCCCGCGCUUCGCAGCGGAUAUGUAGUAUUUCAAUUGAUUAAAAUGUAUAUUUAUUAAAAUUUUAAGAUUGAGAAAAUUAUAGCUUAAGACAUGUUUUUUUUAAAAAAAAUCUACAAAAUAGCCUUAUGUAUAUUAUUAAAAAUAUUUUUUAUUAAUAUUUUCUUAACUUUUAAUAUUUGUAGAGUAAAAUUAUUCUAAAAAUUUUAUUUAAAAAUUCAAUUAAACUUAAUAUUUUUUAUAACU
This 571-nucleotide long non-coding RNA is filed under the name Ananas comosus (pineapple). RNAcentral describes it as "long non-coding RNA (ACOM_LNC032394)". The record is from RNAcentral. Lineage: Eukaryota; Viridiplantae; Streptophyta; Magnoliopsida; Poales; Bromeliaceae.